RNAcentral lists this ribosomal RNA (490 nucleotides) under uncultured bacterium. RNAcentral's name for it is "partial 16S ribosomal RNA". It matches the Rfam family "Bacterial small subunit ribosomal RNA", at positions 30 to 507 of the family's 1533-position model. The record is from RNAcentral.
AUUGAACGCUGGCGGCAGGCCUAACACAUGCAAGUCGAACGGUAACAGGAAGAAGCUUGCUUCUUUGCUGACGAGUGGCGGACGGGUGAGUCAUGUCUGGGAAACUGCCUGAUGGAGGGGGAUAACUACUGGAAACGGUAGCUAAUACCGCAUAACGUCGCAAGACCAAAGAGGGGGACCUUCGGGCCUCUUGCCAUCGGAUGUGCCCAGAUGGGAUUAGCUAGUAGGUGGGGUAACGGCUCACCUAGGCGACGAUCCCUAGCUGGUCUGAGAGGAUGACCAGCCACACUGGAACUGAGACACGGUCCAGACUCCUACGGGAGGCAGCAGUGGGGAAUAUUGCGCAAUGGGCGCAAGCCUGAUGCAGCCAUGCCGCGUGUAUGAAGAAGGCCUUCGGGUUGUAAAGUACUUUCAGCGGGGAGGAAGGGAGUAAAGUUAAUACCUUUGCUCAUUGACGUUACCCGCAGAAGAAGCACCGGCUAACUCCGUG